CAGAGUUGCAAAACUCCCUAAAACCAUUGUGAACCUACCGCUAAACAGUUGCUUCGGCGGGUGGCCGGGCUCCGGCCGCCGAGCCCGCCGGAGGAAACCAAACUCUUUGUUUUUACCACUGGCCUCUCUGAGUACACUUAUAGAAAUAAGUCA
This 153-nucleotide unclassified non-coding RNA is filed under the name uncultured Ascomycota. RNAcentral's name for it is "sequence contains ITS1". The record is from RNAcentral. Lineage: Eukaryota; Fungi; Ascomycota.